Homo sapiens (human) is the source of this 1280-nucleotide long non-coding RNA. Ensembl annotates it as non-protein coding RNA, associated with MAP kinase pathway and growth arrest. Its record names the gene NAMA. Lineage: Eukaryota; Metazoa; Chordata; Mammalia; Primates; Hominidae. The record is from Ensembl.
AGAGCACUUUCAAGCUAAAAGGAAGGAGGCUCAGCAGUGGGUUUCCAACUGUGCCUCCUUCCUUGGUUCACAAUGACAGUCCAACUUCUGCCAGUCCUGACUGUCAUUCAAGCCUUUUUGCUAUUUAAGAAUUUUGAGGAAGAAAACCGUCAUGUACUCAAAAUCCUGGUAAUCAGAAGUGUCUGGAGAUUUCGAGCUGUUAACAUAGAGAGGUGGCAAAAUUAUUUUCUGGGAUAUCCUUAUGGGCCUGAAUGGCAGCGGGAGUCGACAUAGCUGGUGCCUGGGCAGGUUUCCAAAGCACAGCCGAGGUGGAGAGUAGGUGAGGGCUGCAACAAAGGUCCCGACAUCUGAAGAGCACUGCACAGUUUGUCAGAGGAUUUCAGCUCCACACUCUCACUUAGUCCUCACAGCAACCCCAUGCAGUGACUGCUGUCACUUCUUUUCAUGGCUGAGAAGACUGUUGGGAGAGGAAAAAUGAAUUGCCCACUGGCAGGCAGGUAAGAGGCACAGCUGAAACUCUCACCUAGUUCUUCUGACUCCAAGCCCAUCAUCUCAGGAUUGUACCCAAGUGGCUCUUGCACCAGUAUCAGCGCCAAUGGCAGGGUCAGCAGAAAAUAGCAGAGGGGCCUGAAAACAGAUGGGAACAUCUGGAAAAGAUUCAUAAUCCACUUAGGAAAAAGGAGGGGGGAUGCACGGAGUUAGCACAUAUUAAGUGCCUGCUGUAGUCAAGCCCUGUUGGACACCAGGGACAUCUGGACCUUGACAACGGAGCGAAGGGGUGGUCCUGCCUGCACCAGGUUUCAGUGGCUUCUCAGGCUUCUCUGCAGCAUGGGUGUUCCUGCCUUGGCCAGAGCCGAAAUCCCAGAGCAGUGAAAGAGGAGCCAGUGUCAUGGGGCUUCUGGUUUCAGGACACACUGGAAAGGCUGGUCCCUGAGUGCUCCAAGGACCCAUGCAUCUGACCAUAGGGGAUGCUGGGAGUAUCCUCCAUCCUGGCCUGAAAGAGCUCCCUUUCAGCUUCCUGGAUUCAUAUCUGUCUUUCUGAAAACUGACUUCCCAUAUUCCCAAAGCCAUCGCCAGCUCCCAGCUUUGUCAUUCAGGAAAAAGAGUAUGCACCUCCCCUUCAUCCUCCUCAUCUCUCACCAUCAUUAAGUACAAGCCCAAGGAGAAGAAUCAAGGGCAAUGAAUCUUCAUCAAACAAUAAAAUCCUGCCUGGUACCAGACCUACCUGUGCCAUCCAAGCACUGCCUGCCCUGUCCCUCCAUUAAACAUCUUACCCUUGC